GUAGGGGAGCAAGCGUUGUUCGGAAUCAUUGGGCGUAAAGAGCGCGUAGGUGGUUUGGGUAAGUCUGUUGUGAAAUCCCAUAGCUCAACUGUGGAACUGCGACGGAAACUGCCAGACUUGAGUGCGGGAGAGGAAAGUGGAAUUCCCAGUGUAGAGGUGAAAUUCGUAGAUACUGGGAGGAACACCGGUGGCGAAGGCGGCUUUCUGGACCGCAACUGACGCUGAGGCGCGAAAGCUAGGGGAGCAAACGGGAUUAGAUACCCCGGUAGUCCUAGCCGUAAACGAUGGGCACUAGGUGUGGGGGGUAUCGACCCCUUCUGUGCCGUAGCUAACGCAUUAAGUGCCCCGCCUGGGGAGUACGGUCGCAAAGACUA
RNAcentral lists this ribosomal RNA (374 nucleotides) under uncultured organism. RNAcentral describes it as "partial 16S ribosomal RNA". It matches the Rfam family "Bacterial small subunit ribosomal RNA", at positions 526 to 896 of the family's 1533-position model. The record is from RNAcentral.